Molecule: ribosomal RNA, 301 nt
Filed under: uncultured bacterium
Lineage: Bacteria
Description: partial 16S ribosomal RNA
Rfam family: Bacterial small subunit ribosomal RNA
Source: RNAcentral
CAGCAGCCGCGGUAAUACGGAGGGUGCGAGCGUUAAUCGGAAUAACUGGGCGUAAAGGGCACGCAGGCGGUGACUUAAGUGAGGUGUGAAAGCCCCGGGCUUAACCUGGGAAUUGCAUUUCAUACUGGGUCGCUAGAGUACUUUAGGGAGGGGUAGAAUUCCACGUGUAGCGGUGAAAUGCGUAGAGAUGUGGAGGAAUACCGAAGGCGAAGGCAGCCCCUUGGGAAUGUACUGACGCUCAUGUGCGAAAGCGUGGGGAGCAAACAGGAUUAGAUACCCGCGUAGUCCCUGUCUCUUAUAC